Molecule: transfer RNA, 77 nt
Filed under: Erysipelotrichaceae bacterium
Lineage: Bacteria; Bacillati; Bacillota; Erysipelotrichia; Erysipelotrichales; Erysipelotrichaceae
Description: tRNA-Arg
Rfam family: tRNA
About the family: Transfer RNA (tRNA) molecules are approximately 80 nucleotides in length. Their secondary structure includes four short double-helical elements and three loops (D, anti-codon, and T loops).
Source: RNAcentral
GUUCCGGUAGCUCAGCUGGAUAGAGCAACGGCCUUCUAAGCCGUAGGUCGGGAGUUCGAACCUCUUCCGGAACGCCA